This 427-nucleotide ribosomal RNA is filed under the name uncultured Chlamydiales bacterium. Its description in RNAcentral is "partial 16S ribosomal RNA". It matches the Rfam family "Bacterial small subunit ribosomal RNA", at positions 355 to 774 of the family's 1533-position model. Lineage: Bacteria; Pseudomonadati; Chlamydiota; Chlamydiia; Chlamydiales. The record is from RNAcentral.
UCGAGAAUAAUUCGCAAUGGGCGAAAGCCUGACGAUGCGACGCCGUGUGAACGAUGAAGGCCUUCGGGUUGUAAAGUUCUGUCGCCUGUGAACAAGGUUAUCCUGUGAAUAAUGGGGUAAUUUGAGUGUAACAGGAAAGGAAGCACCGGCUAACUCCGUGCCAGCAGCUGCGGUAAUACGGAGGGUGCAAGCGUUAGUCGGAAUUACUGGGCGUAAAGGGUGCGUAGGCGGGAAUGUAAGUCAGAUGUGAAAAACCGAAGCUCAACUUCGGCAGUGCAUCUGAAACUGCGUUUCUAGAGGGAUAGCGGAGAAAACGGAAUUCCACGUGUAGCGGUGAAAUGCGUAGAUAUGUGGAAGAACACCUGUGGCGAAAGCGGUUUUCUAGCUUACCCCUGACGCUGAGGCACGAAAGCAAGGGGAGCAAACA